GCGGAAGUGGCGGAAUUGGUAGACGCGCUAGAUUUAGGUUCUAGUAUCGUAAGAUGUGAGAGUUCAAGUCUCUCUUUCCGCACCA
RNAcentral lists this transfer RNA (85 nucleotides) under Psychromonas marina. RNAcentral describes it as "tRNA-Leu". It matches the Rfam family "tRNA". Rfam says of the family: Transfer RNA (tRNA) molecules are approximately 80 nucleotides in length. The record is from RNAcentral. Lineage: Bacteria; Pseudomonadati; Pseudomonadota; Gammaproteobacteria; Alteromonadales; Psychromonadaceae. RNAcentral also lists the same sequence under 8 other names.